UUUGUAAAUGGCCGCAGUAUUUUGACUGUGCUAAGGUAGCAUAAUCAUUAGUCUUUUAAUUGAAGGCUGGUAUGAAUGGUGGGACGAGAAAAUAGCUGUCUCUGAGGUAAAUUUUGAACUUUAUUUUUAAGUGAAAAAGCUUAAAUGUGUUUGGGGGACGAUCAGACCCUCUGGAGCUUUAUUUAUCUUUUUGUCUAUAUCUGUUUGAGAUGGUGAGAUAAGGAGAUAAAUUUUGUUGGGGCGACAGGAAGACUAAAAUAACACUUCUUUUUUAAAACGCUUUUAGGCGGGAUGCUGAUCCUUAAAGAAAGAUUAGAAGAUUAAGUUACCCUAGGGAUAACAGCGUAAUCUUUUUGGAGAGUUCUAAUCGAUAAAAAGGUUUGCGACCUCGAUGUUGGAUUAAGAAAUUGGCAAGGUGCAGAAGUUUUGUUGGAAAGUCUGUUCGACUUUUAAUUUCUUACAUGAUCUGAGUUCAA
This 476-nucleotide ribosomal RNA is filed under the name Daphnia longispina. RNAcentral's name for it is "partial 16S ribosomal RNA". It matches the Rfam family "Bacterial large subunit ribosomal RNA", at positions 1920 to 2614 of the family's 2925-position model. Lineage: Eukaryota; Metazoa; Arthropoda; Branchiopoda; Diplostraca; Daphniidae. The record is from RNAcentral.